AGCAGCCGCGGUAAUUCCAGCUCCAAUAGCGUAUAUUAAAGUUGUUGCAGUUAAAAAGCUCGUAGUUGAAUUUUAGGCCUGGCCAGGCGGUCCGUCUUUGGCGAGUACUGUCUUGUUGUCGGGUCUUCCUUCUGGUGAACCAGUAUGUCCUUCAUUGGGUGUGUUGGGGAGCCAGGACCAUUACCUUGAAAAAAAUUAGAGUGUUUAAAGCGGGCUAUUGCUUGAAUAGAUUAGCAUGGAAUAAUAGAAUAGGACGUUGUGGUUCUAUUUUGUUGGUUUCUAGGACCACCGUAAUGAUUAAUAGGGAUAGUUGGGGGCAUUAGUAUUCAAUUGUCAGAGGUGAAAUUCUUGGAUUUAUUGAAGACUAACUACUGCGAAAGCAUUUGCCAAGGAUGUUUUCAUUAAUCAAGAACGAAAGUUAGGGGAUCGAAGACGAUCAGAUACCGUCGUAGUCUUAACCAUAAACUAUGCCGACUAGGAAUCGGGCGACGUUAUUUUACGACUCGCUCGGCGCCUUAUG
This 520-nucleotide ribosomal RNA is filed under the name uncultured Glomeromycotina. Its description in RNAcentral is "SSU rRNA". It matches the Rfam family "Eukaryotic small subunit ribosomal RNA", at positions 569 to 1092 of the family's 1831-position model. The record is from RNAcentral. Lineage: Eukaryota; Fungi; Glomeromycota.